This 245-nucleotide ribosomal RNA is filed under the name uncultured bacterium. Its description in RNAcentral is "partial 16S ribosomal RNA". It matches the Rfam family "Bacterial small subunit ribosomal RNA", at positions 1257 to 1500 of the family's 1533-position model. The record is from RNAcentral.
GUGAGGUGGAGCAAAACUCAAAAACUUGUCUCAGUUCGGAUUNUAGGCUGAAACUCGCCUACAUGAAGCUGGAGUUGCUAGUAAUCGCGAAUCAGCAUGUCGCGGUGAAUACGUUCCCGGGCCUUGUACACACCGCCCGUCACACCAUGAGAGUUGGCAAUACCCAACGUACGUGAUCUAACCCGCAAGGGAGGAAGCGUCCUAAGGUAGGGUCAGCGAUUGGGGUGAAGUCGUAACAAGGUACC